AUAUUUUUGACACAAGCUUUUAUUGUUGUCAGAGAGAUCUAAUUGCAUUCAAUGCGUGACAAAAAAUCGUGUUCUAUUGUGGAUGUCGUACGAGGCGACCAUAGCCAGCAGAUGACUAUAGCAUUCCCAAAGAUCGUUGUUGUCAAAUCGCAGCCGAAACUUCAACAUUUUAACCUAAAAAUUACCACCUACCAUAACAACUUUGUCCAUGUAUAUGUGAUUGAUCAUGCUUGUUACAUGUUCAAUUAUAGGUAUACAAAUAAAUACAUAAUCUUUAUUCAUUGCAUGGUAUAAAAUAAACGUAAUGCUAACAAUUUUGACUUUCAUAUUGCCAAGAUCUAUUGAAUUUUUAUUCGCUAUGUUGUUGAAAGGAUUAGUUUUUCUGCUGGCGUUUCAAUUGAUUCAAUCCAGACCGUGCCACGCUCGACUACUUGAAGAUCAAAUUGUGGAAUUUGAACGCACCAACCCAGAUUACCCCAUUCUAAUAUAUUCUUAUUCGCCAUAUGUAAAAUAUCCUUUAUACGAUUUCAAUGACUUCUUAUCAAGACUAUUAUCAGAUGAUACAAAUUCCGAAUCAAGAUCUUCGAAAGGACAUCCCAGAUUUCGUAAGAGACCUAAUAAAGGAAAUAAGCGUAGAACCAAGCACAUAAUAUUUAAUAUACAUUCAUAACAUAUACAUUAAAUUUAUGUGAAAUUUU
Long non-coding RNA from Plodia interpunctella (Indianmeal moth), 698 nucleotides. RefSeq lists it as uncharacterized. The transcript has 2 exons. The record is from RefSeq and is a predicted model, not a curated record. Lineage: Eukaryota; Metazoa; Arthropoda; Insecta; Lepidoptera; Pyralidae.